RNAcentral lists this ribosomal RNA (253 nucleotides) under uncultured bacterium. Its description in RNAcentral is "partial 16S ribosomal RNA". It matches the Rfam family "Bacterial small subunit ribosomal RNA", at positions 524 to 776 of the family's 1533-position model. The record is from RNAcentral.
GACAGAGGUGGCAAGCGUUGUUCGGAUUUAUUGGGUGUAAAGGGCAGGUAGGUUGUUAUGUAAGUCUGGUGUGAAAGCCCACGGCUCAACCGUGGAAUGGCAUUGGAAACUGCAUGACUUGAGUACCGGAGAGGUGAAGGGAAUUCUCGGUGUAAGGGUGAAAUCCGUAGAUAUCGAGAGGAACACCAGUGGCGAAGGCGCUUCACUGGCCGGUUACUGACACUGAGCUGCGAAAGCAAGGGGAGCAAACAGG